This 709-nucleotide ribosomal RNA is filed under the name uncultured bacterium. RNAcentral describes it as "bacterial SSU rRNA". It matches the Rfam family "Bacterial small subunit ribosomal RNA", at positions 102 to 807 of the family's 1533-position model. The record is from RNAcentral.
ACGGGUGAGUAAUGCUUGGGAAUCUGGCUUAUGGAGGGGGAUAACUACGGGAAACUGUAGCUAAUACCGCGUAAUAUCGGAAGAUUAAAGGGUGGGACUUUCGGGCCACCUGCCAUAAGAUGAGCCCAAGUGGGAUUAGGUAGUUGGUUAGGUAAAGGCUGACCAAGCCGACGAUCUCUAGCUGGUCUGAGAGGAUGACCAGCCACACUGGAACUGAGACACGGUCCAGACUCCUACGGGAGGCAGCAGUGGGGAAUAUUGCACAAUGGGGGGAACCCUGAUGCAGCCAUGCCGCGUGAAUGAAGAAGGCCUUCGGGUUGUAAAGUUCUUUCGGUGACGAGGAAGGUUGAUAGGUUAAUAGCGUAUCAAAUUGACGUUAAUCACAGAAGAAGCACCGGCUAACUCCGUGCCAGCAGCCGCGGUAAUACGGGGGGUGCGAGCGUUAAUCGGAAUAACUGGGCGUAAAGGGCACGCAGGCGGUGACUUAAGUGAGAUGUGAAAGCCCCGGGCUUAACCUGGGAAUUGCAUUUCAUACUGGGUCGCUAGAGUACUUUAGGGAGGGGUAGAAUUCCACGUGUAGCGGUGAAAUGCGUAGAGAUGUGGAGGAAUACCGAAGGCGAACGCAGCCCCUUGGGAAUGUACUGACGCUCAUGUGCGAAAGCGUGGGGAGCAAACAGGAUUAGAUACCCUGGUAGUCCACGCUGUAAAC